GUUUAAAUAGUUUAAUUAAGAAUUAUAGUUUGUGAUAUUAUAGGUGUAAUUAUUUACUUUAGAUC
RNAcentral lists this transfer RNA (65 nucleotides) under Acanthosoma labiduroides. RNAcentral's name for it is "tRNA-His". Lineage: Eukaryota; Metazoa; Arthropoda; Insecta; Hemiptera; Acanthosomatidae. The record is from RNAcentral.